RNAcentral lists this long non-coding RNA (850 nucleotides) under Fukomys damarensis (Damara mole-rat). RNAcentral's name for it is "lncRNA (ENSFDAG00000025533.1)". The record is from RNAcentral. Lineage: Eukaryota; Metazoa; Chordata; Mammalia; Rodentia; Bathyergidae.
AGCAGAGGGUCCUCCAGGCACUCUGAGAUCAGAGGUGGUGCUAGCUACAGGCUUCCCUUUGGGAAACUUUCAUGGAGGAGGUGACCCUUGAGAUACCAUCCUAUGGAGCCUCUGCUACGGGUCAGUUUGUGACUCCAUCGGUCCAGAUGUCCUCCAGGGGGAAUCCUAUCCCCGUGCCUCUUCCCACAUCUGUGGUGGGUACUUUCCCGGGUAUCAAGGGAAGAGCAAUGAAUCUACAGUUUAUACUUUCAAGGGGUUCCAAGUAGACCACAAAACAAAAGGAAGAAGAAGCCACUGAUACUGAGGUAUGGGGAUGAAACUGCGGGACACAAAAUGUGGUCUGGGAGCCAGAGAAAGUCAAGAGAGUCAUUUAAGUCAUUUUUACUGACCCUGCACGGAACUUGUAGAACCACAUUCUUUACAAAGCAGCAAAAGGAAAUUAGUGUCCAGGCACUGAUGCCUCAUGACUAAAAUCAAACUCAGGAGAACAAAAUACAGACUCUGCACUUAAUCAGGGUAAAAUCUGGCCAGCCAAAUAUAUUCAUGAUAUUAAUCACAAGCAGGGAUUCCAGGGGCAUAUCCAUUCCACCCAAGCACAGCAAAAAAUGGGACAAAUAGCUUAGUCAGACUGUUCUUCCCUGCACACCCAGCAUGCAGAGGCUCUCUCCAUUCAGUUGCAUGCGCUGAAUUGGUCUCAACAACGAAGAACCCGGACAAGUCCCAGCCCAGGCUAGGAAACAAAACAAAACAAGUACACAGACUUCGCUCUCUCAUUUUUCCCUAAAUGUAGACAAGCUAGAAGCAAAGUUGAUGGUUUCAAACAAUAUCAAACUGACCUUGGCCCAGUCCG